RNAcentral lists this ribosomal RNA (484 nucleotides) under uncultured bacterium. RNAcentral's name for it is "partial 16S ribosomal RNA". It matches the Rfam family "Bacterial small subunit ribosomal RNA", at positions 30 to 507 of the family's 1533-position model. The record is from RNAcentral.
AUUGAACGCUGGCGGCAGGCCUAACACAUGCAAGUCGAGCGGAUGAAGGGAGCUUGCUCCUGGAUUCAGCGGCGGACGGGUGAGUAAUGCCUAGGAAUCUGCCUGGUAGUGGGGGAUAACGUCCGGAAACGGGCGCUAAUACCGCAUACGUCCUGAGGGAGAAAGUGGGGGAUCUUCGGACCUCACGCUAUCAGAUGAGCCUAGGUCGGAUUAGCUAGUUGGUGGGGUAAAGGCCUACCAAGGCGACGAUCCGUAACUGGUCUGAGAGGAUGAUCAGCCACACUGGAACUGAGACACGGUCCAGACUCCUACGGGAGGCAGCAGUGGGGAAUAUUGGACAAUGGGCGAAAGCCUGAUCCAGCCAUGCCGCGUGUGUGAAGAAGGUCUUCGGAUUGUAAAGCACUUUAAGUUGGGAGGAAGGGCAGUAAGUUAAUACCUUGCUGUUUUGACGUUACCAACAGAAUAAGCACCGGCCAACUUCGUG